RNAcentral lists this non-coding RNA (206 nucleotides) under Catenulispora sp. The record is from RNAcentral. Lineage: Bacteria; Bacillati; Actinomycetota; Actinomycetes; Catenulisporales; Catenulisporaceae.
CUACGGUGACGGUGCCGUGGUGCUCGGGAAGACCGGUGGGAAACCGGAGCGGCCCUCGCCACUGUGAUCGGGAAGCACCGGCUCCAUGCCGACCGCGCGGCAGUCCGCGUUGUCGGUGGCCACUGGACGCGUUCAGCGCGCCCGGGAAGGCGGAGCCGGGGCGUCGACCCGUCAGCCAGGAGACCGGCCACGGCAUCGAAGUCGAC